This 429-nucleotide ribosomal RNA is filed under the name Bacteroidota bacterium. Its description in RNAcentral is "Bacteroidetes bacterium partial 16S ribosomal RNA". It matches the Rfam family "Bacterial small subunit ribosomal RNA", at positions 355 to 776 of the family's 1533-position model. The record is from RNAcentral. Lineage: Bacteria; Pseudomonadati; Bacteroidota.
UAGGGAAUCUUCGGCAAUGGGGGGAACCCUGACCGAGCAACGCCGCGUGAGUGAAGAAGGUUUUCGGAUCGUAAAGCUCUGUUGUUAAGGAAGAACGAGUGUGAGAAUGGAAAGUUCAUGCUGUGACGGUACUUAACCAGAAAGGGACGGCUAACUACGUGCCAGCAGCCGCGGUAAUACGUAGGUCCCGAGCGUUGUCCGGAUUUAUUGGGCGUAAAGCGAGCGCAGGCGGUUAGAAAAGUCUGAAGUGAAAGGCAGUGGCUCAACCAUUGUAGGCUUUGGGAACUGUUUAACUUGAGUGCAGAAGGGGGGGAUGGAAUUCCAUGUGUAGCGGUGAAAUGCGUAGAUAUAUGGAGGAACACCGGUGGCGAAAGCGGCUCUCUGGUCUGUAACUGACGCUGAGGCUCGAAAGCGUGGGGAGCGAACAGG